UACGGGGGGUGCGAGCGUUGUCCGGAAUCACUGGGCGUAAAGGGCGCGUAGGUGGUCUGAUAAGGGUGUGGUGAAAGCCCGGGGCUCAACCCCGGGUCGGCCGUGCCGACUGUUGGACUAGAGUGCUGUAGGGGCAGGCGGAAUUCCGGGUGUAGCGGUGGAAUGCGUAGAGAUCCGGAGGAAGACCGGUGGCGAAGGCGGCCUGCUGGGCAGUUACUGACACUGAGGCGCGACAGCGUGGGGAGCAAACAGGAUUAGAAACCCCCGUAGUCC
This 273-nucleotide ribosomal RNA is filed under the name uncultured bacterium. RNAcentral describes it as "partial 16S ribosomal RNA". It matches the Rfam family "Bacterial small subunit ribosomal RNA", at positions 524 to 796 of the family's 1533-position model. The record is from RNAcentral.